This 670-nucleotide ribosomal RNA is filed under the name Nocardia aobensis. Its description in RNAcentral is "bacterial SSU rRNA". It matches the Rfam family "Bacterial small subunit ribosomal RNA", at positions 380 to 1062 of the family's 1533-position model. Lineage: Bacteria; Bacillati; Actinomycetota; Actinomycetes; Mycobacteriales; Nocardiaceae. The record is from RNAcentral.
AGCCUGAUGCAGCGACGCCGCGUGAGGGAUGACGGCCUUCGGGUUGUAAACCUCUUUCGACAGGGACGAAGCGCAAGUGACGGUACCUGUAGAAGAAGCACCGGCCAACUACGUGCCAGCAGCCGCGGUAAUACGUAGGGUGCGAGCGUUGUCCGGAAUUACUGGGCGUAAAGAGCUUGUAGGCGGUUCGUCGCGUCGAUCGUGAAAACGUGCAGCUCAACUGCACGCUUGCGGUCGAUACGGGCGGACUAGAGUACUGCAGGGGAGACUGGAAUUCCUGGUGUAGCGGUGAAAUGCGCAGAUAUCAGGAGGAACACCGGUGGCGAAGGCGGGUCUCUGGGCAGUAACUGACGCUGAGAAGCGAAAGCGUGGGUAGCGAACAGGAUUAGAUACCCUGGUAGUCCACGCCGUAAACGGUGGGCGCUAGGUGUGGGUUUCCUUCCACGGGAUCCGUGCCGUAGCUAACGCAUUAAGCGCCCCGCCUGGGGAGUACGGCCGCAAGGCUAAAACUCAAAGGAAUUGACGGGGGCCCGCACAAGCGGCGGAGCAUGUGGAUUAAUUCGAUGCAACGCGAAGAACCUUACCUGGGUUUGACAUACACCAGAAAGCCGUAGAGAUACGGCCCCCCUUGUGGUUGGUGUACAGGUGGUGCAUGGCUGUCGUCAGCUCG